GACGAACGCUGGCGGCGUGCUUAACACAUGCAAGUCGAACGGUGAAGGGACUGGUUUUGCUGGUCCUGGAUGAGUGGCGAACGGGUGAGUAACACGUGAGUAACCUGCCCCCUUCUUCUGGAUAACCGCAUGAAAGUGUGGCUAAUACGGGAUAUUCUGGGUCUGUCGCAUGGUGGGCCUGGGAAAGAUUGCGCCUUUUUUGGUGUUUUUGGUGGGGGAUGGGCUCGCGGCCUAUCAGCUUGUUGGUGGGGUGAUGGCCUACCAAGGCGGUGACGGGUAGCCGGCCUGAGAGGGUGGACGGGCACACUGGGACUGAGACACGGCCCAGACUCCUACGGGAGGCAGCAGUGGGGAAUAUUGCACAAUGGGCGCAAGCCUGAUGCAGCGACGCCGCGUGAGGGAUGGAGGCCUUCGGGUUGUGAACCUCUUUCGCCAGUGAAGCAGGCCUGCCUCUUUUUGUGGGUGGGUUGACGGUAGCUGGAUAAGAAGCGCCGGCUAACUACGUG
RNAcentral lists this ribosomal RNA (506 nucleotides) under uncultured bacterium. RNAcentral describes it as "partial 16S ribosomal RNA". It matches the Rfam family "Bacterial small subunit ribosomal RNA", at positions 28 to 507 of the family's 1533-position model. The record is from RNAcentral.